This 702-nucleotide long non-coding RNA is filed under the name Ananas comosus (pineapple). Its description in RNAcentral is "long non-coding RNA (ACOM_LNC034609)". The record is from RNAcentral. Lineage: Eukaryota; Viridiplantae; Streptophyta; Magnoliopsida; Poales; Bromeliaceae.
UACUCCAGCUGUGAUUUGGAGUUGGUGGGGGGUAGUAUUGUCAUUUGCUGGUGGUUAUCCACACCACCUACUCCUUCAUAUAUAUCCACCUGAGAUAAUUAAUUAUCUCAGAUUCCUCUCUCUCUUUGGUUUAAUCGUAGGCUUGGUAGAGGCCGUAGCUCGAGCUCACGAGAUUUUCGACGUUGAUCCGGAGGGCCGUUCGAGUGUACGUGCGUCGCGGUUGUGUCGUUGGAGGCUGGGCGAGCGCGUGUUUUCCUCUCCUUUCGACUUCUCGCCGUUGUUGGACGAGCGUUUCGAUGUGGGUUGAAGUUUACCGAAAUUGUCGGAAUAUCUUCUAAGUUUUAAUAUUUGUCGACAUGUAUCAUUUGUCUAUUUUUCUUGCUAGUACUCGAAUUUAUGGAUUAGUGUUUACAUCUGAAUUUAGAGUUAAGCUAGCAGUUUAAUUUUACAUGUUGGAUUUGAAAUUGACUUAGGAGAAAACAGAUGAUCCUACACUGUCAUUUUCUGAAAACUAUCAGAUUUAGCUUUAGGAACUGUAGUUUGUUUGAAUCGUCGCAGUUUGUAUGCGAUGGAUAUCCAGAUUAGUGUAUGAUAAGUUUAUGCUCGUGGUGGGAUGUCGAAUUUAUUUUACAGUAGUGUGUAGACUGUUCUGGACUGUCGGGUGCCGUCGCUGUUGACGGUGGAUCCAGUUUGCUAUCUUUG